This 743-nucleotide ribosomal RNA is filed under the name Salmonella enterica subsp. enterica serovar Thompson. RNAcentral describes it as "partial 23S ribosomal RNA". It matches the Rfam family "Bacterial large subunit ribosomal RNA", at positions 2190 to 2925 of the family's 2925-position model. The record is from RNAcentral. Lineage: Bacteria; Pseudomonadati; Pseudomonadota; Gammaproteobacteria; Enterobacterales; Enterobacteriaceae. RNAcentral also lists the same sequence under 1 other name.
CCUUGAAAUACCACCCUUUAAUGUUUGAUGUUCUAACGUGGACCCGUAAUCCGGGUUGCGGACAGUGUCUGGUGGGUAGUUUGACUGGGGCGGUCUCCUCCUAAAGAGUAACGGAGGAGCACGAAGGUUGGCUAAUCCUGGUCGGACAUCAGGAGGUUAGUGCAAUGGCAUAAGCCAGCUUGACUGCGAGCGUGACGGCGCGAGCAGGUGCGAAAGCAGGUCAUAGUGAUCCGGUGGUUCUGAAUGGAAGGGCCAUCGCUCAACGGAUAAAAGGUACUCCGGGGAUAACAGGCUGAUACCGCCCAAGAGUUCAUAUCGACGGCGGUGUUUGGCACCUCGAUGUCGGCUCAUCACAUCCUGGGGCUGAAGUAGGUCCCAAGGGUAUGGCUGUUCGCCAUUUAAAGUGGUACGCGAGCUGGGUUUAGAACGUCGUGAGACAGUUCGGUCCCUAUCUGCCGUGGGCGCUGGAGAACUGAGGGGGGCUGCUCCUAGUACGAGAGGACCGGAGUGGACGCAUCACUGGUGUUCGGGUUGUCAUGCCAAUGGCACUGCCCGGUAGCUAAAUGCGGAAGAGAUAAGUGCUGAAAGCAUCUAAGCACGAAACUUGCCCCGAGAUGAGUUCUCCCUGAGACUUAGAGUCUCCUGAAGGAACGUUGAAGACGACGACGUUGAUAGGCCGGGUGUGUAAGCGCAGCGAUGCGUUGAGCUAACCGGUACUAAUGAACCGUGAGGCUUAACCUUAC